AACGAACGCUGGCGGCAUGCUUAACACAUGCAAGUCGAACGAGACCUUCGGGUCUUGUGGCGCACGGGUGCGUAACGCCGGGGAACUUGCCCUUGGGUUCGGUAUAACUCACCGUAAGAGAUGCUAAUACCGGUUAAUGUAUUAGGACCAAAGAUCUAUCGCUUUUGGAUGGGCCCGCGUUAGAUUCGCCGGUUGGUAGGGUAAAAGCCUACCAUCGCGACGUUCCAUAGCUGGUGUGUGAGGAGGAUCAGCCACACUGGAACUGAGACACGGCCCAGACUCCUACGGGAGGCAGCAGUGGGGAAUAUUGGACGAUGGGCGAAAGCCUGGUCCAGCAGUGCCGCGUGAGUGAUGAAGGCCUUAGUGUUGUAAAGCUCUUUUACCCGAGAUGAUAAUGACAGUACCGGGAGAAUAAGCUCCGGCUAACUCCGUG
RNAcentral lists this ribosomal RNA (433 nucleotides) under uncultured bacterium. RNAcentral's name for it is "partial 16S ribosomal RNA". It matches the Rfam family "Bacterial small subunit ribosomal RNA", at positions 29 to 507 of the family's 1533-position model. The record is from RNAcentral.